UACGGAGGGAGCUAGCGUUGUUCGGAAUUACUGGGCGUAAAGCGUGCGCAGGCGGUCUUUUAAGUCAGAUGUGAAAUCCCCGGGCUUAACCUGGGAACUGCGUUUGAAACUGGAAGGCUUGAGUGUGGCAGAGGGGGGUGGAAUUCCACGUGUAGCAGUGAAAUGCGUAGAGAUGUGGAGGAACACCGAUGGCGAAGGCAGCCCCCUGGGCUAACACUGACGCUCAUGCACGAAAGCGUGGGGAGCAAACAGG
RNAcentral lists this ribosomal RNA (253 nucleotides) under uncultured bacterium. RNAcentral's name for it is "partial 16S ribosomal RNA". It matches the Rfam family "Bacterial small subunit ribosomal RNA", at positions 524 to 776 of the family's 1533-position model. The record is from RNAcentral.